UAAUUGUUAUUAAACAACGUACGCUGUGUAUAGUUAUGGUUUAUCUGGAAGUAGUGCUGGAAUAGGUUAGUUGUUUCAUAAGUUAAUUGUUAUUAAACACCGUACGCUGUGUAUAGUUAUGGUUUAUCUGGAAGUAGUGCUGGAAUAGGUCGAGGAUCAGUACGAGGACGGGGGUCAGGAGUUGCCAGGGGCCAUCGUGGCCCACCUAGAGUCAAUCAUAGUCAGAAAUCGCCGUCAGAGGGACAAAGUGCAGAACCAGCGAAGACGUCAACAUCUUUAGGAUUUUAUGUACAGAACUCACCACAGUAGCCCCCUCUGUAAUAAUAUUUAGUUUGUCCAGCAGAAAGGAGUGGUCAUUACUUGCGGGACUGGUUAAAAAGGGGGACUACAUCAGCUUUUUACUUUGCUCAAGAUGAUUGUAACCCCUCAAGAGGCCAAUGGACAGUUCACAUGGCCGUGGUCAACCGGUCUGUUGCACUACGUUGAUGUUAGACUGUGUUUAAGUGGACACAAGCAGGGUCAAAUUUCUCUGGACAGGGACCUCUUUGAAACGUGUAGUGUAGAAUAUUAACUCUUGUUCGGGAGAUGUAUCGAUAGUGUAUGUGCGUGUGUAUAAAUUUAGUGUGUUUGACAAGUGAACAUUUCCAAAGAACAAACAGCGCGAACCUGACUUUGGAAAUCAUUGUAGAUUCGAUCGCGAGGUAGACGUACACUUUUACAUUAUUAGCAUGUACAGAGAUCAGCUUCAAAUAUGAAAUUAAAAGUUGCUUAUUUCA
Limulus polyphemus (Atlantic horseshoe crab) is the source of this 776-nucleotide long non-coding RNA. RefSeq lists it as uncharacterized. Lineage: Eukaryota; Metazoa; Arthropoda; Merostomata; Xiphosura; Limulidae. The record is from RefSeq and is a predicted model, not a curated record. The transcript is spliced from 2 exons.